CAAUAUGGCGGCAUAAUACCAAGACUCUGUCCCUUCUGGGCAAUAACCAGUUGUGAGACAUGCCAUCAUUCACAUACUGUAUUGGAAACUUCCUUCAUAUAUUUAGAACCUUGAGAUGUGGAGCUGGAGUCUGAUUGCAGGAAUAUAGCACUUCUUUGAAUAUAUGACCAUUCCAAGGAAACAGCCACAUGGAGUUUGUUAAAG
Pelobates cultripes (western spadefoot toad) is the source of this 204-nucleotide non-coding RNA. Lineage: Eukaryota; Metazoa; Chordata; Amphibia; Anura; Pelobatidae. The record is from the annotation of a GenBank genome assembly.